UACGGAGGAUGCGAGCGUUAUCCGGAUUUAUUGGGUUUAAAGGGUGCGUAGGCUGUCGGAUAAGUUAGAGGUCAAAUGUCGGGGCUUAACCCCGUGCCUGCCUCUGAUACUGUUCGACUGGAGAGCGGAUGCAGCAGGCGGAAUGAGUAGUGUAGCGGUGAAAUGCUUAGAUAUUACUCAGAACACCGAUUGCGAAGGCAGCAUGCCGGCUUCCUACUGACGCUGAAGCACGAAAGCGUGGGGAUCGAACAGG
RNAcentral lists this ribosomal RNA (253 nucleotides) under uncultured Rikenella sp. RNAcentral's name for it is "partial 16S ribosomal RNA". It matches the Rfam family "Bacterial small subunit ribosomal RNA", at positions 524 to 776 of the family's 1533-position model. The record is from RNAcentral. Lineage: Bacteria; Pseudomonadati; Bacteroidota; Bacteroidia; Bacteroidales; Rikenellaceae.